GAUGAACGCUGGCGGCGUGCCUAAUACAUGCAAGUCGAGCGAACAGACGAGGGGCUUGCUCCUCUGACGUUAGCGGCGGACGGGUGAGUAACACGUGGAUAACCUACCUAUAAGACUGGGAUAACUUCGGGAAACCGGAGCUAAUACCGGAUAAUAUAUUGAACCGCAUGGUUCAAUAGUGAAAGACGGUGUUGCUGGCACUUAUAGAUGGAUCCGCGCCGCAUUAGCUAGUUGGUAAGGUAACGGCUUACAAAGGCGACGAUGCGUAGCCGACCUGAGAGGGUGAUCGGCCACACUGGAACUGAGACACGGUCCAGACUCCUACGGGAGGCAGCAGUAGGGAAUCUUCCGCAAUGGGCGAGAGCCUGACGGAGCAACGCCGCGUGAGUGAUGAAGGUCUUCGGAUCGUAAAACUCUGUUAUUAGGGAAGAACAAAUGUGUAAGUAACUAUGCACGUCUUGACGGUACCUAAUCAGAAAGCCACGGCUAACUACGUG
This 497-nucleotide ribosomal RNA is filed under the name uncultured bacterium. Its description in RNAcentral is "partial 16S ribosomal RNA". It matches the Rfam family "Bacterial small subunit ribosomal RNA", at positions 28 to 507 of the family's 1533-position model. The record is from RNAcentral.